CCUUUCUGCGAAAAGUAAAUAAAUCAAAAACAAAACCAAAGCAAAACAAAAACCCCACAUUGCCGAAGAUGAGAAAAAUUGGAAUCCCUUAUCUUGCUAGUGGGGCUGUGAAACAGGGAAGGCACUGGGGAACAGUGUGGCAACUUUUGCUAGCAUAAAUACAGUAUUAUCAUCUGACCCAGCAACUCCGCUGCUUGGUAUGUAUUUAAGGGACUCGACAGCAAAAGUUCAAACAAGAACUUGUACACAAAACUUGUUCACGGCAGCACCAUUCACGAUAGCAAAAGAUGGAAAUGAGUCCCACACCCAGUUCAACUCAACCUCACUGUUCAGUUCACA
Ochotona curzoniae (black-lipped pika) is the source of this 339-nucleotide long non-coding RNA. RefSeq lists it as uncharacterized. The transcript has 3 exons. NCBI's taxonomy places the organism in Eukaryota, Metazoa, Chordata, Mammalia, Lagomorpha, Ochotonidae. The record is from RefSeq and is a predicted model, not a curated record.